Molecule: non-coding RNA, 477 nt
Organism: Chiloscyllium plagiosum (whitespotted bambooshark)
Lineage: Eukaryota; Metazoa; Chordata; Chondrichthyes; Orectolobiformes; Hemiscylliidae
Source: the annotation of a RefSeq genome assembly
AGUUUUCCAACACCAGCACUGUUUGGGAUGAGUUAGCAAAUGACCGCGACUGAAAGGCUGAGAGGACCUUGUCGAGGCGAUUCUGUCUCACAGACGCCGGCUUCGGUCGCAGUGAAUGAGGAGGACAGUAUCCAGUUCUUCUGUAAUUAUACUACAACAAGAAACACUCGGGGCCUUUACUGGUACCGUCAAUAUUCCAGUGGUCCCAUAGAGCUGCUGCUGUGGAGAAGCAAAUUUAGCGGGAACACAGAGAAGUUUCACAGAGACUGGCUAUCCCCAGAGCUCGAUCAUAUGAACCACACCAUCAACAUGAAAGUGGUCAAAAUAGAACUGGCAGACUCUGUAGUGUACUACUGCGCACUGAGACCCAUGGAGUCUCAGAAUUGGGUUGACCCUGUGCAAAAACAUGACAUUGUGUGUGCCAGGCAAUCGAUGAGAUCAAGAGUGGAUCUGAAAGGGUUCCCGAAAUCACGGUGA